AGAGUUUGAUCCUGGCUCAGGACGAACGCUGGCGGCGUGCCUAACACAUGCAAGUCGAGCGAGGUAUUUAUACCUAGCGGCGGACGGGUGAGUAACACGUGGGUAACCUGCCUCAAAGUGGGGAAUAGCCUUCCGAAAGGGAGAUUAAUACCGCAUAAUGUACACAUUUAGCAUUAUCAGUGUACCAAAGGAGAAAUCCGCUUUGAGAUGGGCCUGCGGCGCAUUAGCUAGUUGGUGGGGUAACGGCUCACCAAGGCCACGAUGCGUAGCCGACCUGAGAGGGUGAUCGGCCACAUUGGAACUGAGACACGGUCCAGACUCCUACGGGAGGCAGCAGUGGGGAAUAUUGCACAAUGGAGGAAACUCUGAUGCAGCAACGCCGCGUGAAUGAUGAAGGCCUUCGGGUCGUAAAGUUCUUUGAUUGGGGACGAUAAUGACGGUACCCAAAAAAC
This 452-nucleotide ribosomal RNA is filed under the name uncultured bacterium. Its description in RNAcentral is "bacterial SSU rRNA". It matches the Rfam family "Bacterial small subunit ribosomal RNA", at positions 8 to 487 of the family's 1533-position model. The record is from RNAcentral.